Molecule: ribosomal RNA, 528 nt
Filed under: Fusarium proliferatum
Lineage: Eukaryota; Fungi; Ascomycota; Sordariomycetes; Hypocreales; Nectriaceae
Description: eukaryotic LSU rRNA
Rfam family: 5.8S ribosomal RNA (bases 148-301)
Source: RNAcentral
GGCUUCGAGCUUAACUCCAACCCCUGUGACAUACCAAUUGUUGCCUCGGCGGAUCAGCCCGCUCCCGGUAAAACGGGACGGCCCGCCAGAGGACCCCUAAACUCUGUUUCUAUAUGUAACUUCUGAGUAAAACCAUAAAUAAAUCAAAACUUUCAACAACGGAUCUCUUGGUUCUGGCAUCGAUGAAGAACGCAGCAAAAUGCGAUAAGUAAUGUGAAUUGCAGAAUUCAGUGAAUCAUCGAAUCUUUGAACGCACAUUGCGCCCGCCAGUAUUCUGGCGGGCAUGCCUGUUCGAGCGUCAUUUCAACCCUCAAGCCCCCGGGUUUGGUGUUGGGGAUCGGCGAGCCCUUGCGGCAAGCCGGCCCCGAAAUCUAGUGGCGGUCUCGCUGCAGCUUCCAUUGCGUAGUAGUAAAACCCUCGCAACUGGUACGCGGCGCGGCCAAGCCGUUAAACCCCCAACUUCUGAAUGUUGACCUCGGAUCAGGUAGGAAUACCCGCUGAACUUAAGCAUAUCAAUAAGCGGAGGAA